This is a non-coding RNA of Lolium perenne, 704 nucleotides long. NCBI's taxonomy places the organism in Eukaryota, Viridiplantae, Streptophyta, Magnoliopsida, Poales, Poaceae. The record is from RefSeq and is a predicted model, not a curated record.
CGCGGUUCCGGCACGCCUGAGCUCUCCGAACAGAGCGACAGCCGAUCACCGGCGGCGCGCCGCCAGCGGGACCGAAACCGAGCGCUCCAGCUGCCCGUGUAAUCAGUCAUGUCCUCGCCGGUUUGCCGAUGUAUCGCCGAUAGGACAUGGAUGGAUGUGGAUGCCUUAUGUACCAAAAUUCUGCAAGGAAGUCAAGAAUGGUCAUAUAGCGAAGUGGAUAUCGCGUUAGAUUCCGAAUCUAUAGGUCGUGGGUUCGACUCCCACUAUGAUCAAUUUUCCUUGUGUUUUUUAGAGGAAAUUUGUGUGGCUCCUGUUUUUUGUUUCUUGUGUUUUUCAGCAGACAGUGGCUUACUGCAAUUGCACACAAGGUAUCAGGGUUCUUGUGAACAAGAUUGGUCCCAUGACCUCAGGUCCCCAGCUGCCUUACAGGGCGGUUGUCAUGGAGUGCAGAAUUUCACCUGUACUAGUGCAUUAUCAGGAAUUUUUUAACCCCAAAGGCCUAUCUGGUAACUGUUGGUGUAAAUUAUUGUGUGGAACAAAUGUCACCAUUCAAUCACAUGGAAGACUUGGUUGUCAAUGAACCCAUAAUUAUCCAGAACAUGUGGACAUAAGGUGGUUGUUUAUAGAGCUGUAGUUAUUUUGAUACGGCUGCAACUUCGCUGUAUGUUGUGUAUGUUUUUGUAAAGAGAUUGAAUUGGUUUCAA